This 460-nucleotide ribosomal RNA is filed under the name uncultured bacterium. Its description in RNAcentral is "partial 16S ribosomal RNA". It matches the Rfam family "Bacterial small subunit ribosomal RNA", at positions 338 to 795 of the family's 1533-position model. The record is from RNAcentral.
CCUACGGUGUGCAGCAGUGAGGAAUAUUGGUCAAUGGACGAGAGUCUGAACCAGCCAAGUAGCGUGAAGGAUGACUGCCCUAUGGGUUGUAAACUUCUUUUAUAUGGGAAUAAAAUGUUCCACGUGUGGGAUUUUGUAUGUACCAUAUGAAUAAGGAUCGGCUAACUCCGUGCCAGCAGCCGCGGUAAUACGGAGGAUCCGAGCGUUAUCCGGAUUUAUUGGGUUUAAAGGGAGCGUCGGUGGAUUGUUAAGUCAGGUGUGAAAGUUUGCGGCUCAACCGUAAAAUUGCAGUUGAAACUGGCAGUCUUGAGUACAGUAGAGGUGGGCGGAAUUCGUGGUGUAGCGGUGAAAUGCUUAGAUAGCACGAAGAACUCCGAUUGCGAAGGCAGUUCACUGGACUGCAACUGACGCUGAAGCACGAAAGCGUGGGUAUCGAACAGGAUUAGAUACCCCAGUAGUC